AGAAACCGUGCUUCAAAAAACAAGACA
RNAcentral lists this non-coding RNA (27 nucleotides) under Rattus norvegicus (Norway rat). The record is from RNAcentral. Lineage: Eukaryota; Metazoa; Chordata; Mammalia; Rodentia; Muridae.